Long non-coding RNA from Choloepus didactylus (southern two-toed sloth), 982 nucleotides. RefSeq lists it as uncharacterized. The record is from RefSeq and is a predicted model, not a curated record. The transcript has 5 exons. NCBI's taxonomy places the organism in Eukaryota, Metazoa, Chordata, Mammalia, Pilosa, Megalonychidae.
GAGUUGACAUGAAGGAUUUUGUGGGGCUGCAAUCUUCUCCUUCUGUGGGGGAUUUUGGCCCUUUCUGAGCAAGAGUCAGUGUUAAUAGGAUGUACUUCCUCUAUGUUCUGGGCUGUAGUUGGAUUGACCCUACUUGGUAAAAAUCACUUUUUGCAUUCUGCUGAAGUGUCUCUGGGAAUUGGUUGUCCUGUAAUCAACACAACUAAGAAAGGAUAUGAGUUUAAGGACCCUGUCACCAAGUGUGGGAUUCAGAAAGAGGUUCAGGUCCACAUCAGCUGUGAGACCCAGGAGCAGAAGAUGACUCGGCAGAGAAGCAGAAAAAAAGACACCAUUGGAUCAAAAGGAAAUGAGUUGCUCAUAUGCAUUGUAUGAAGGUCUUCCCAGGUGUGGGUUUCCAGGAGGAACCACCUAGCUUGACUGAGAAAACACAGCCCAAGGAAUCUUCUGCGUCUUCUAACCAAGAUUUUCAAGAGAAUGUAGAACACCUGAAGUUUAAUGUGAAUUUUAUUUUUGCUUUUUAAGGCUAGCUACUAACUAAAACAUUUAAAAAACUCAAUAAUAUCCCAGGCUAAGCAAAGUAAACCUGAGCAAGUCACCAGCAUGUGACGUCUGACAGUGGAAUUAAUAUAGCAAAAUGCCUGACACGUGGUCUUUGCUCAAUAUGUGUUACUUCUCUUCUGCACUGAAUUUUAAAACGGUUGUUUGCUGACUGCUUCGCAGCUGCUUUGAUUACUAACCCUUGAACCUACUACUCCCCCUUCAGGCACUUAGCUCCACUUUGGGAGAAUUCAUUGCCCUGAAGGUUCCAUUUCUCUGAGGAGCUCCAUGAUUUUAUGACCUUUCUUAAAAGAACAUAUAACACACAGUGUCAUGUAGAGGGCGAUUAAGGUAGCAAGCAUGAAGUCCACCUUCAGCUAUGCCGGAGAUGUGCAACAUGGCCGCCAGGGCUGAUACAACAAUAGCUUAAGUUACCCUCAGCCUU